GCAGCCGCCGCGGUAAUACGAAGGGUGCAAGCGUUAAUCGGAAUUACUGGGCGUAAAGCGUGCGUAGGCGGUUUGUUAAGUCUGUUGUGAAAUCCCCGGGCUCAACCUGGGAAUGGCAAUGGAUACUGGCAAGCUAGAGUGUGUCAGAGGAUGGUGGAAUUCCCGGUGUAGCGGUGAAAUGCGUAGAGAUCGGGAGGAACAUCAGUGGCGAAGGCGGCCAUCUGGGACAACACUGACGCUGAGGCACGAAAGCGCGGGGAGCAAACAGGAUUAGAGACCCCCGUAGUCCCUGUCUCUUAUAC
RNAcentral lists this ribosomal RNA (302 nucleotides) under uncultured bacterium. RNAcentral describes it as "partial 16S ribosomal RNA". It matches the Rfam family "Bacterial small subunit ribosomal RNA", at positions 508 to 807 of the family's 1533-position model. The record is from RNAcentral.